ACGAAGCACAAACGAACGGUACCAUUUUGGGUCCAUUUUGAGCAGAUGGGGGGCUGGGUGAACUCCGGAUGACCUAUAAAAGAAUCGUUCAUAACUAAAAAACCAUCGCAGCACAAACAAAAUGUUUUGCUGCACAAACGAAGCACAAACGAACGGUACCAUUUUGGGUCCAUUUGGAGACAGGUGGGGGGCUGGGUGACGUCAUCGCUAUAAAAUAAAUGUGUAAUAUCUCCGAAACGGAAGCAGCACAAACGAAAAUUUUUGCUGCACAAACGAAGCACAAACGAACGGUACAAUUUUGGGUCCAUUUGGAGACAGGUGGGGGGCUGGGUGACGUCAUUGCUAUAAAAUAAAUGUGUAAUAUCUCCGAAACGGAAGUAGCACAAACGAACAUUUUUGCUGCACAAACCAGCACUAACGAAGCACAAACGAAUGGUACCAUUUUGGGUCCAUUUUGAGCAGAUGGGGGGCUGGGCGAACUCUGGAUGACCUAUAAAAGAAUCGUUCAUAACUAAAAAAACCAUAGCAGCACAAACGAAAUUUUUGCUGCACAAACCAGCACAAACGAAGCACAAACGAAACAGACUAUUCUGCUUAAAUUUUGCGGGGGGUGGGGGGCCAGCUUCACGCAGGUACAGCACACUGAUAUAAAAUCAAGUUUGCGGCACUACCAGUUCUCCCAAAAGGGAGCGGUAACGCGUAACUUGCCGACAGUCCGCCGGCGAAGAAGAUAAGCUUACCAAAGAAGAAAAAAUACAAUCGCAACGGCGGGCCAACAUGGAGGCAGUUUUUAGCGAUGUUGUCAAAGUCAUAAUUAGAUGUCGACACUGUGAUGAAAGAAAAGCACGCAUCCGCGUCACCAUUGAGCGUCAGUCGAGCACAAGUGCCGUUUGCAAACGAGAUCUUUUGGUAAGAUUGACCAAUGACGAGGAUCCGCAUUUUUUCUUCAGCCUCACAAUCUCUGAGGAAGAUUUCCAAAGGUUUGCCUAAGAAGUAGC
This is a long non-coding RNA of Syngnathus typhle (broad-nosed pipefish), 998 nucleotides long. RefSeq lists it as uncharacterized. The record is from RefSeq and is a predicted model, not a curated record. NCBI's taxonomy places the organism in Eukaryota, Metazoa, Chordata, Actinopteri, Syngnathiformes, Syngnathidae. The transcript is spliced from 3 exons.